RNAcentral lists this microRNA precursor (177 nucleotides) under Oryza brachyantha (malo sina). RNAcentral describes it as "MIR812 microRNA precursor family". It matches the Rfam family "MIR812 microRNA precursor family", at positions 19 to 190 of the family's 205-position model. The record is from Rfam by way of RNAcentral. Lineage: Eukaryota; Viridiplantae; Streptophyta; Magnoliopsida; Poales; Poaceae.
UUUUCGUUUUUUCGUGUCCAACAUUUGACCAUUCGUCUUAUUUAAAAUUUUUUUAUUAAUAUUUUUAUUAUUACUAGAUGAUAAAACAUGAAUAAUACUUUAUGCGUGACUAAUUUUUUUAAGUUUUGUAUAAAUUUUUCAAAUAAAACGAAUAAACAACCUUUAUAACGGAAAAAC